This 473-nucleotide ribosomal RNA is filed under the name uncultured bacterium. RNAcentral's name for it is "bacterial SSU rRNA". It matches the Rfam family "Bacterial small subunit ribosomal RNA", at positions 335 to 799 of the family's 1533-position model. The record is from RNAcentral.
ACUCCUACGGGAGGCAGCAGUGAGGAAUAUUGGUCAAGUGGAGGGAACUCUGAACCAGCCAUCCCGCGUGUAGGAAGACGGCCUUAUGGGUUGUAAACUACUUUUAUACAGGAAGAAACGUACCCUCGUGAGGGUGCCUGACGGUACUGUAGGAAUAAGCACCGGCUAACUCCGUGCCAGCAGCCGCGGUAAUACGGAGGGGUGCGAGCGUUAUCCGGAUUUAUUGGGGUUUAAAGGGUCCGUAGGCGGAUUAAUAAGUCAGUGGUGAAAUCCCAUAGCUUAACGAUGGAACUGCCAUUGAUACUGUUAGUCUUGAAUGAGGGUGCAGUGGUUGGAAUGUGUAGUGUAGCGGUGAAAUGCAUAGAUAUUACACAGAACACCGAUUGCGAAGGCAGAUCACUAACCCUAAAUUGACGCUGAGGGACGAAAGCGUGGGGAGCGAAACAGGAUUAGAUACCCGUGGUAGGAUAGCG